GCCUCGAUGAAUCUCUAUCGUCUAGUUUCCUCAUUAUAAUUCGAAUCCUCCAUGGAGGAAUAAUUCUGGUCCAACACAAUACCAAAUUUUAGGCAUGACGAGAUCCUUUUGUUAACGAAGGAAUAAGAGUCUUAUUACAACUAGAUUCUUGCAAAUUAUUUUCUAGAAAUAACUUCAUUCUUCCUCUCUUGGUAUCAAAAAGGGGAUAUGUGGUACUGGUACAAAGAUUGAAAAUCUAUUCCCUUUUUCUUCUAAAAACCAUCUUGGAGAUUGUGUAAUGCUUACUCUCAAACUGU
Molecule: long non-coding RNA, 296 nt
Filed under: Amborella trichopoda
Lineage: Eukaryota; Viridiplantae; Streptophyta; Magnoliopsida; Amborellales; Amborellaceae
Description: long non-coding RNA (ATRI_LNC001728)
Source: RNAcentral